Molecule: long non-coding RNA, 2228 nt
Organism: Triticum aestivum (bread wheat)
Lineage: Eukaryota; Viridiplantae; Streptophyta; Magnoliopsida; Poales; Poaceae
Exons: 14
Source: RefSeq, a predicted model, not a curated record
GGAAAUUUUGACCGUCAAUCACCCUGACACCCCACAUCCUCUCCUCUCCUCUCCCGACGCGCCGCCGCAGCCGCCGCCGCCCCCAUCUCCGACUCCGAUGCGCAGCCACCGCCCCUCGCCUUCCUCCAUCUCCAUCUCACCCACCGCCACCCCCUUCUCUCCCUCGGCUGUCGAGCUUCCGGAUGGACCCGGUGAGUAGGCCGGCGGCACUCCCCGAUCUGCUCGUCCUGCCGGCCGCGGCGAAGUGAGGAUCCAGGAUCCGCGCUCGGGGCGGCCUCGACGCAGGUGCUCGGUGUGCCCGGCCGCCCAAGACUCCGCCUUCCUCACGCUAGUGCGUCUGGAGAGGAGGAGGGGGCGGCACGCACAGCCGUGCCCUGCCGUCGGCGACGACGGCGCGGCCGUGCCCUCCGACGCCGCUCUUCUGCGCGCGUGAGGACACCAACUCCGCUCUCGACGACGACCGCACCAUGGAAUGGAGCCCUUCAAGGAAGACUUUGGGUUGCUUGUAACCCGCCAUGUCACAGAUAGGGUGCCUGUUAGAAAUCUUCUAUGGGGGUAACCAACAAGCGACAAAUAUUCAGUCUUGAGGGCGCAAGUACUGAAGCUAUGAUCCAGCUGUUGAGAAUAACUGAUAAUCAUGGUGUCUUAUGUGUAACUAUUUUCUUCAGAAAUCACCAAGUACUUACUGCAAAGGUUUUCGUGUCACCGACAACUCUGCUUCACUAGUAGAUUGGGGAAGGCGGCCGCUGCCCUCGUCUCCGCAUUGCCACGUCCUACUCCUCUGCUCCACAACGUACAUGGCUAAAGUAAGUCAGGGUUGCACGUGCAGGUACAACUCGUCGACGUCAAGGAGAAUGAUGCCUUAGACCAGUCUGAGAAGCCAUCGCCGUCCUCGGGUGCUGCCGCCAACGGAUACGGGCGCUUGGUGACUGAAGAGGUUGUUAGAGUUUUUCAUGUCAUCGACAACUCUGCGUCACUAGUAGAUUGGGGUGUUCGGCUGCCACCCUUGUCUCCGCCGUGGCCAUCCUCCUCUUCAUCUGUUCCACAACGUCCAUGGCUUAAACAAGGUUGCACGUGCAGGUACAACUCAUGGACGCCAAGGAGAAUGAUGCCUUAGACUAGUCUGAGAAGCCAUCGCUGCCCUUGGAUGUUCCUGCCGACAAAGACGGGCACAUGGUGACACAAGAUUGGGCUACUCAGCCAACGGUAAGUGGCGGUGUACUUCAUCACAGCCUUCCGUUUUCGAAAACAUCAGUCAAUCCUUCGUUAAGUGAGCAUAAUGGACAUCAAUGACCCAACCAUGCCCAUAAUGGCCAUACAGUACAACAAGGCAUCCUCGUUGGUCUAUGUUGCAAAUGGGCUGCAGCACUUUCCAUGCUUUCAAGCCGAAGGACUUCACUCCGAGGGCAUACUCUACAAGCAAUACAAAUUCAGAGAGACACGAUGAAAUCAAGUCAAAAUCAACCGAUUGUCUUAGACCCUUUUGCACAUGGACAUUUGAGAGCACUCUACUCUUUAGUCUGUUGGAACAAAGUUAUGAUGUUUCCGUUUCACACAAGAAAUCAAUUGCAAGAAGAUCAUGACAGCAGCUUGUCAUGUAAGGCGUUUCAAGCCAAAGGAAGGAUUCACUCCAAGAUCAUGUUGUGCAAGCAGCACAAAUUCAGAGAGCCUCAAGGAAAUCAAGGCAAAAAUGUACUGGCCAUACAAACCUCUGUUCCUCUCUCACGUAAUUGCAUAGUUGAUUGUGCGUCACAGCAUCAACCCUUGCACCUUCUAUUGCUGACAUAUACUUGUGAGUGCAAGACUUGUCAAUGAGCACCUGGCAGCUGUUCUCUCCCUGGCAGUGAGUUCAGUCUGCUGCAACCACCUCUCCUUCGACGGUGGAUCAGCAACGAAGGAUUCUAUUGAGCCCUCAGCCGAGACAGAACAAGUUUUUGAGGCGCUCACUACCAAUCGUCGAAGACAUGUCAAAGCCCUUGCGUUGGUCGGUUUCUCUAAGCACUGGAGCUGGGCGUUUUGCCCCUUUUUUGGGUAGUGUAAUGUGGUGGGAGUUAUUUUAACCUGUUAGUGAGGGAAUCAUCUUCUGGUAAAGAUGAUCAUAUAUGUACAAACCUGUAGUGUUUGGUUUGGUUGUAGAUGAUACUUAUUUGUAUAUGGAUUAGGUGCCUUUGAUUUGAUUCAACACGGGCUAGUGAUGAUUUAUAUGUACCAAAUCUCUUUCAUUUUGA